RNAcentral lists this ribosomal RNA (512 nucleotides) under uncultured bacterium. RNAcentral describes it as "bacterial SSU rRNA". It matches the Rfam family "Bacterial small subunit ribosomal RNA", at positions 20 to 518 of the family's 1533-position model. The record is from RNAcentral.
UGGCUCAGGAUGAACGCUAGCUACAGGCUUAACACAUGCAAGUCGAGGGGCAGCAUGUUGGUUGCUGCAACCAAUGAUGGCGACCGGCGCACGGGUGAGUAACGCGUAUCCAACCUUCCCCUUAGUAGAGGAUAGCCCGGCGAAAGUCGGAUUAAUACUCUAUGUUCUUCAAUGCGGACAUCUAAGUUGAAGCAAAGAUUUAUCGCUAAGGGAUGGGGAUGCGUCUGAUUAGGUUGCAGGCGGGGUAACGGCCCACCUGGCCUACGAUCAGUAGGGGUUCUGAGAGGAAGGUCCCCCACACUGGUACUGAGACACGGACCAGACUCCUACGGGAGGCAGCAGUGAGGAAUAUUGGUCAAUGGGCGCGAGCCUGAACCAGCCAAGUAGCGUGCAAGGACGACUGCCCUAUUGGGUUAGUAAACUGUCUUUUAUCAGGGAAUAAAGUGAGGCACGCGUGCCUUUUUGUAUGUACCUGAUGAAUAAGGACCGGCUAAUUCCGUGCCAGCCGCCGC